RNAcentral lists this ribosomal RNA (465 nucleotides) under Vreelandella stevensii. RNAcentral describes it as "partial 16S ribosomal RNA". It matches the Rfam family "Bacterial small subunit ribosomal RNA", at positions 338 to 795 of the family's 1533-position model. Lineage: Bacteria; Pseudomonadati; Pseudomonadota; Gammaproteobacteria; Oceanospirillales; Halomonadaceae. The record is from RNAcentral.
CCUACGGGCGGCAGCAGUGGGGAAUAUUGGACAAUGGGGGGAACCCUGAUCCAGCCAUGCCGCGUGUGUGAAGAAGGCCCUCGGGUUGUAAAGCACUUUCAGUGAGGAAGAACGCCUGGUGGUUAAUACCCAUCAGGAAAGACAUCACUCACAGAAGAAGCACCGGCUAACUCCGUGCCAGCAGCCGCGGUAAUACGGAGGGUGCGAGCGUUAAUCGGAAUUACUGGGCGUAAAGCGCGCGUAGGUGGCUUGAUAAGCCGGUUGUGAAAGCCCCGGGCUCAACCUGGGAACGGCAUCCGGAACUGUCAAGCUAGAGUGCAGGAGAGGAAGGUAGAAUUCCCGGUGUAGCGGUGAAAUGCGUAGAGAUCGGGAGGAAUACCAGUGGCGAAGGCGGCCUUCUGGACUGACACUGACACUGGGGUGCGAAAGCGUGGGUAGCAAACAGGAUUAGAUACCCCUGUAGUC